CCUACCCCGGGACCCCGGCUCCCCACGCCCGCCGGUCCCACCUCCCGGCCCUAGGGGGCGCUGCAGCGGGGGGGUGGGGAGCAGGCCUCUCCGGCCUGGGGUGCAGCUGUGUCCUGGGGCCCGCGGAGCGCAGGAGGGGUAAAGUCCUGGGGCGCUCAGGCCACAGCUUCAAACUAGGCGGGACGUCGCGGCUCUCACGUCUUCCAAGGCCCCUGUCAAUCUUCCCCUGGCCCCAAGAAUGUGAAAAAUGUUCACAAUGGCCGCAUGCAUGCCCCUUGCCCGAGAGCAUCAGCUGCUGGUGCCCACGUAUCGGAGAGAAAAGGUCAUCCCGAAACAAUCGUUGCGGGGGCCCGGCGGCUCAAACCCGAACUUUUCCCUCCCGGCCCGCGCCUCCCUCCACAAUACCGAAGACCCUUUGUGCCCGGGCCCGGGUUCUCCCGGCCCCACGGCGCCGGAGCCCACCCCUUCCUCGACGCCCCGGGCCCUCCGCGGCGACCCAGCCGAAGUGGGGAGGGGAGCGUGGGUUGGGAUUCGCGGCCCGGGAAAUUGUGCUCGAGACCUUGAACGGGAGAAAGUUGUUCCCAGUUCACCUACGCUUGGGGGUGGGGGAGAGGCUGGAGAGGGCCAGACGGUCCCCCUUGGGUCCCAGAAAUGCUGAGCCCGGGGCAGGGGCCCCUAGCUGGGUCCUCCCCGUUCCGGGGCGAGGUGGACCAGCCCCUUUUCCUAAUGCGCCCCCCAAAAUGGGGGAAAGGGCCCCACCAAGAGCCAACGGAGAGGUGCUGGGUCCCGAGCAACGAAUGCGGCUGACCGAGAGCACCCGCAGGGCUGGGCCUGCGCCGGGAAGGGCCCCGACAGGACCAAGGCAGCAGCGCUUCUCCGGAAGUGCCCUGUUCCGCUCUCGGACAAGGGGGCCCUUGGGCGGCUCGGCCCAGGCGGGGUCCGCUCCCUCCUCCGGUGCUCCGGGGCUGCUGUGGGGCGCCACCCAGCCGGAAAUGUCGAGGGGGGAGGACGAGGGGCUGAUUUCUUCGCUUGGUUUCGCGCCCGGCGUUGCCUCGUGGGUCGGAGCAGAUGUAGCUACAGAAGGGACAACGCGUUUUCGUGAAAUCUAUCCCCUGCAACAUAUUAAAUCUUCUGGUCAGAAGAGAAGGAGAAAUUCAAAGGCAGUUUACAGGGAGGAGACAGAAAACACGCUGGAGACAAAUGCGAUCCGUGCAGGUGUUGGAGCAGCUUGCGUUAUAAUUGUAUCUAGCGAAAAGGUUGCCUUUAUUAUCCGUAAUGAUGGAACAAAAGUCACCAUAAUUAAACGUCUGGUUCUCUCCGAUGACUGAGAGGUGCGUGUCUGAAAGGCGCCG
RNAcentral lists this long non-coding RNA (1352 nucleotides) under Vulpes vulpes (red fox). Its description in RNAcentral is "lncRNA (ENSVVUG00000021368.1)". Lineage: Eukaryota; Metazoa; Chordata; Mammalia; Carnivora; Canidae. The record is from RNAcentral.